Long non-coding RNA from Symphalangus syndactylus (siamang), 1023 nucleotides. RefSeq lists it as uncharacterized. NCBI's taxonomy places the organism in Eukaryota, Metazoa, Chordata, Mammalia, Primates, Hylobatidae. The record is from RefSeq and is a predicted model, not a curated record.
GCUCUCUCCAUAAGGGGCCUUCCUGGGGGCAGGCGAGAACUUGCCAGGGGCCUUAGUGCUAUGGGGUGGGAAGGAGAACGCCAGCUGCUCAGGACUUGACAUUCUGAAAACUGCCUACUUGUGCCUGAAGAACCAAGUAUUACAGAGUGAAGAGGGGGAGAAGUACCAGGUGCAAGACCAUCUGAGAGUCAGAAAUCAUUGAAAUCUCACAUUUGCAUUUUGUGCUUGGCUCUAGGAAAAGACACCCCUAAAAUGAUGGUAAAGAAGUGAAAAAGAGUGCAAAGACAAUGGAAAUGGGAGAUAUCAGCAAACAAGCACAUGUUUUUGGAAGACAGGUGAGGAGUGAUUGCUGACUGGGCAGAGUGGAGGAAACAGUGAUCUAUGUGUCUACAGAAAGGAGUUUGGAUGCAAAGUGAGUAUAUCUGCCUGGGAUAUAACCCUUGGGAGGCCUGGGAGCUGGAGGCGGGGGUAAUGUGAGGGGAGACUGCUUGAGAGUCUGAAGGUUUGUUUACUGGAGAAAUGGGUUAGAAGAGGAUCCAGACCAGGGGACAGGAGGCAUGGUGAAGUGAUGGGGUGAUGGGCAGGCUAAACAGAGAGGAUGGACUGAGGGUGGCCACUCUCAUGGUGUGAUGCCCUUGGGCCUCUGCCUCCAUCUGCUCUUAGAGCACCCUCCAGGCAGGAAAGGGGAGAAUUCCUCUCUGAAAAAAACAGAGAGGAAUUCUUUUAAGAAAAUGCCUCCACAUGCUGGCAACUGAAAAUUCUCUAAAGAAAUUAUGAGUUCACAAUGUAAUCCCCCUUUACAAUGGGCCACCAGUAAAAAGCUCCACUAAAACACCCUGAACCUCCAAGCCGCUUGUAGUGCCUCACUCUUAAAUAUGAAUGGCCAAGGAUCACCAGACAUUUAAAGAAAGCACCCACCUGAAAGAGACUGAGACACAAUGACCAGGAAUAGAGGAAUAUGGAAGCUCCACAAUGAGUAGAAGAGAACUUCAAAAACACUUAUUAAUGUCCUCAGAGAGAGAA